GGUUUCAUAGUGUAGUGGUUAUUACAUCUGCUUUACACGGAGAAGGUCCUGGGUUCAAUCCCCAGUAAAACAA
RNAcentral lists this transfer RNA (73 nucleotides) under Xenopus laevis (African clawed frog). It matches the Rfam family "tRNA". From Rfam's summary of the family: Transfer RNA (tRNA) molecules are approximately 80 nucleotides in length. Their secondary structure includes four short double-helical elements and three loops (D, anti-codon, and T loops). Lineage: Eukaryota; Metazoa; Chordata; Amphibia; Anura; Pipidae. The record is from Rfam by way of RNAcentral.